Molecule: transfer RNA, 30 nt
Filed under: Borago officinalis
Lineage: Eukaryota; Viridiplantae; Streptophyta; Magnoliopsida; Boraginales; Boraginaceae
Description: partial tRNA-Leu
Source: RNAcentral
GAAAAUCCGUCGACUUUAAAAAUCGUGAGG